GACGAACGCUGGCGGCGUGCUUAACACAUGCAAGUCGAACGGAAAGGCCCCUUUGGGGGUCCUCGAGUGGCGCACGGGGGCGUAACACGUGAGUAACCUGCCCUUGACUUCGGGAUAACUUCAGGAAACUGGGGCUAAUACCGGAUAGGAAUCCUUGCUGCAUGGGGGGGGUUGGAAAGCUUCGGCGGUUUUGGAUGGACUCGCGGCUUAUCAGCUUGUUGGUGGGGUAGUGGCUUACCAAGGCUUUGACGGGUAGCCGGCCUGAGAGGGCGACCGGCCACAUUGGGACUGAGCUACGGCCCAGACUCCUACGGGAGGCAGCAGGGGGGAAUAUUGCACAAUGGGCGGAAGCCUGAUGCAGCAACGCCGCGUGCGGGAUGACGGCCUUCGGGUUGUAAACCGCUUUCAGCAGGGGCGAAGCUUGUGGUGACGGUACCUGCAGAAGAAGCACCGGCUAACUACGUG
Molecule: ribosomal RNA, 465 nt
Filed under: uncultured bacterium
Lineage: Bacteria
Description: partial 16S ribosomal RNA
Rfam family: Bacterial small subunit ribosomal RNA
Source: RNAcentral